GAUGAACGCUGGCGGCGUGCUUAACACAUGCAAGUCGAGCGAGAAGCUACCUAUUGAACCUUCGGGUGAUUUAGGUAGUGGAAAGCGGCGGACGGGUGAGUAACGCGUGGGUAACCUGCCCUAUGCAGGGGGAUAACACAUUGAAAAGUGUGCUAAUACCGCAUAAGACCACAGAGUCGCAUGACUUGGUGGUAAAAACUCCGGUAGCAUAGGAUGGACCCGCGUCUGAUUAGCUAGUAGGUAAGGUAACGGCUUACCUAGGCGACGAUCAGUAGCCGACCUGAGAGGGUGAUCGGCCACAUUGGGACUGAGACACGGCCCAAACUCCUACGGGAGGCAGCAGUGGGGAAUAUUGCACAAUGGGGGAAACCCUGAUGCAGCGACGCCGCGUGAAGGAAGAAGGUUUUCGGAUCGUAAACUUCUAUCAGCAGGGAAGAUAGUGACAGUACCUGACUAAGAAGCCCCGGCUAACUACGUGCCAGCAGCCGCGGUAAUACGUAGGGGGCAAGCGUUAUCCGGAUUUACUGGGUGUAAAGGGUGCGUAGGCAGCGAAGUAAGUCAGAUGUGAAAGCCCGAGGCUCAACCUCGGGACUGCAUUUGAAACUGC
RNAcentral lists this ribosomal RNA (607 nucleotides) under uncultured bacterium. RNAcentral's name for it is "bacterial SSU rRNA". It matches the Rfam family "Bacterial small subunit ribosomal RNA", at positions 28 to 636 of the family's 1533-position model. The record is from RNAcentral.